CGUAGGUGGCAAGCGUUGUCCGGAAUUAUUGGGCGUAAAGGGUGCGUAGGCGGUUUUUUAAGUGGGAUGUGAAAUACCUAGGCUUAACUUAGGAAUGGCAUUCCAAACUGGAAGACUAGAGUGCAGGAGAGGAAAGUGGAAUUCCCAGUGUAGCGGUGAAAUGCGUAGAGAUUGGGAGGAACACCAGUGGCGAAGGCGACUUUCUGGACUGUAACUGACGCUGAGGCACGAAAGCGUGGGGAGCAAACAGGAUUAGAUACCCUGGUAGUCCACGCUGUAAACGAUGAGUACUAGGUGUGGGGGGCGAAGCCCUCUGUGCCGCAGUUAACACAAUAAGUACUCCGCCUGGGAAGUACGAUCGCAAGAUUA
Molecule: ribosomal RNA, 369 nt
Filed under: uncultured organism
Description: bacterial SSU rRNA
Rfam family: Bacterial small subunit ribosomal RNA
Source: RNAcentral